GAAGCGAAGCAGCGAUGUGAAGCAAAUCGCACCAAAGCCGGUCCCAGUUCGGAUAAGAGGCUGAAACUCGCCUCUUUGAAGUCGGAAUCGCUAGUAAUCGCAGAUCAGCAUGUUGCGGUGAAUACGUUUCCUGGUCUUGUACACACCGCCCGUCAAACCAUGAGAGUCGCCAACACCCGAAGUCCGCUUUGCGGCCUAAGGUGGGGGAGAUGAUUGGGGUUAAGUCGUAACAAGGUAAC
Molecule: ribosomal RNA, 239 nt
Filed under: uncultured bacterium
Lineage: Bacteria
Description: partial 16S ribosomal RNA
Rfam family: Bacterial small subunit ribosomal RNA
Source: RNAcentral